Molecule: ribosomal RNA, 252 nt
Filed under: uncultured bacterium
Lineage: Bacteria
Description: partial 16S ribosomal RNA
Rfam family: Bacterial small subunit ribosomal RNA
Source: RNAcentral
UACGUAGGGAGCAAGCGUUGUCCGGAAUCAUUGGGCGUAAAGCGCGUGUAGGCGGUUACAUAAGUCUGUUGUGAAAGUCGGAGGCUCAACCUUCGAAAGCCGAUGGAUACUGUGUGACUAGAGUACGGAAGAGGAGAGUGGAAUUCCUGGUGUAGCGGUGAAAUGCGCAGAUAUCAGGAGGAACACCAACGGCGAAGGCAGCUCUCUGGGACGUUACGGACGCUGAGACGCGAAAGCGUGGGAGCAAACAGG